GACGAACGCUGGCGGCGUGCCUAACACAUGCAAGUCGAACGGAGUUAAGUGCUUCGGUAUUUAACUUAGUGGCGAACGGGUGAGUAACGCGUGAGAAACCUGCCUUUCAGUGGGGGACAACAGUUGGAAACGACUGCUAAUACCGCAUAAGCCCACAGCUCGGCAUCGAGCAGAGGGAAAAGGAGUGAUCCGCUUUGAGAUGGCCUCGCGUCCGAUUAGCUGGUUGGUGAGGUAACGGCCCACCAAGGCAACGAUCGGUAGCCGGACUGAGAGGUUGAACGGCCACAUUGGGACUGAGACACGGCCCAG
RNAcentral lists this ribosomal RNA (309 nucleotides) under uncultured bacterium. RNAcentral describes it as "bacterial SSU rRNA". It matches the Rfam family "Bacterial small subunit ribosomal RNA", at positions 28 to 334 of the family's 1533-position model. The record is from RNAcentral.